GUCUUGAGAAGCGCUAGUGUGAAACUGA
RNAcentral lists this non-coding RNA (28 nucleotides) under Cricetulus griseus (Chinese hamster). The record is from RNAcentral. Lineage: Eukaryota; Metazoa; Chordata; Mammalia; Rodentia; Cricetidae.